AUACUCACCUGGCAGGGAGAGUGCAUGGUCACGAAGGUGGUUUUCCCAGGGUGAGGCUCAUCCACUGCACUCUGGAUGGGCUGACCCCUGUGAUUUCCCCACACGUGGGAAAAUAUACAGCGUAACUUAUGGUAAUGGAGGACUUUGUCUGCACUCCCCCCUC
Small nuclear RNA from Otolemur garnettii (small-eared galago), 163 nucleotides. Its record names the gene U1. It matches the Rfam family "U1 spliceosomal RNA". Rfam says of the family: U1 is a small nuclear RNA (snRNA) component of the spliceosome (involved in pre-mRNA splicing). Its 5' end forms complementary base pairs with the 5' splice junction, thus defining the 5' donor site of an intron. There are significant differences in sequence and secondary structure between metazoan and yeast U1 snRNAs, the latter being much longer (568 nucleotides as compared to 164 nucleotides in human). The record is from Ensembl. Lineage: Eukaryota; Metazoa; Chordata; Mammalia; Primates; Galagidae.